Molecule: ribosomal RNA, 715 nt
Filed under: uncultured archaeon
Lineage: Archaea
Description: bacterial SSU rRNA
Rfam family: Archaeal small subunit ribosomal RNA
Source: RNAcentral
GCCCUAUGCUGGAUAAUAACCUCGGGAAACUGAGAAUAAUGAUCCAUAGUUCACUACGCCUGGAACGGUGAGUGGAUGAAAGCUCCGGCGGCAUAGGAUGGGCCUGCGGCGUAUCAGGUUGUAGGGGGUGUAACGUACCCUCUAGCCCUCUACGCGUACGGGUGUUGGGAGACAUAGCCCGGAGAUGGAUUCUGAGACACGAAUCCAGACCCUACGGGGUGCAGCAGGCGCGAAAACUUGGCAAUGCGAGAAAUCGUGACCAGGGAACUCCAAGUGCAUCGGGUAAGACCGGUGCUUUUCUUGACUCUAAAUAGGUCUUGGAAUAAGGGGUGGGUAAGGACGGUGCCAGCCGCCGCGGUAAUACCGGCGCCUCAAGUGGUAGUCGCUUUUAUUGGGCCUAAAACGUCCGUAGCCGGUCUGAUACAUUCGUGGGUAAAUCAACCAGCUCAACUGGUUGAAUUCUGCGAGGACGGUCAGACUUGGGACCGGGAGAGGUGUGGGGUACGCUCAGGGUAGGGGUAAAAUCCUGUCAUCCUGAGCGGACCACCUGUUGCGAAGGCGCCACACUAGAACGGAUCCGACGGUCAGGGACGAAGCCUAGGGGCACGAACCGGAUUAGAUACCCGGGUAGUCCUAGGUGUAAACGCUGUGGACUUGAUGUUGGGGGUGCUCCGAGCACUCUCAGUGUCGAAGCGAAGGUGAUAAGUCCACUACC